GAUCUUAAGCCUCUUCAAAAA
RNAcentral lists this small RNA (21 nucleotides) under Arabidopsis thaliana (thale cress). RNAcentral's name for it is "ATSL300960". Lineage: Eukaryota; Viridiplantae; Streptophyta; Magnoliopsida; Brassicales; Brassicaceae. The record is from RNAcentral.